CCCCCUCCCACUGUGACCGAAGGAGGCUCCGCCAGCCAGCCGUGGCCUCCUCGCCCAGGAAGCCAGAUCGCAAUCCCCUUCGGGGGCACCGGGGACACCCAGCGCACCCUCCCGCGACUGAGUCUGUAAGAAGCCCAGCUGCCCGCAUGCUUGCUCCCAGUUGGUGACGAAGGACUGGGAUCAGGGACUAAGGCUGGAUAACAACAUGGAAAUGAUCACUGAACCCAUAGAAGCUGAUGAGGACACCAAAUAAAAGUAAGAAAGAAGAAAAAGUGGCCCAGAAAAAAACCUUGAGCAAUAAUCACAGUUAGAUGGACAUGAGGGAUGAAGAUCCAGUGAAGUACAGUGAGAAGGGCAAGUAAAACAGGUAGGAAGAGAACCUGGAGAUAUUAGCAGCAUGAAGACCCAUAUCCAGUCCUUUGUCAAGUCUUGUUUCUAUCUCAACAAUGUCUCUCCAAUAGGUCCUCUUCUUACUACUCUCACAACUGUCAAACCUGAUCAGUUCUUCAUCAUCUCUUACCUACACUAUUAUAAUAGCCUCCUCAUUUUGGUCUCCUGACCUCAAAUCUCUCCUCAUUUCAUUCUACCCACUAUACAAUUGCCAAAAUGAUUUCCUUAAAUCAUAGAUCUAACCAUGUCACCAUCCUAGCCCCAGAUUCAAUAAACUCCAAUGUUGUUCAUUUGAAUCCAA
Antechinus flavipes (yellow-footed antechinus) is the source of this 691-nucleotide long non-coding RNA. RefSeq lists it as uncharacterized. NCBI's taxonomy places the organism in Eukaryota, Metazoa, Chordata, Mammalia, Dasyuromorphia, Dasyuridae. The transcript has 2 exons. The record is from RefSeq and is a predicted model, not a curated record.